UACGGAGGUGGCAAGCGUUGUUCGGAAUUACUGGGCGUAAAGGGCGCGUAGGCGGCCAGGCAAGUCAGGUGUGAAAGCCCCGAGCUUAACUCGGGAAUUGCAUCUGAAACUGCUGUGCUUGAGUUCUGGAGGGUGUAGUGGAAUUCCCAGUGUAGCGGUGAAAUGCGUAGAUAUUGGGAGGAACACCUGCGGCGAAGGCGGCUACCUGGACAGAAACUGACGCUGAGGCGCGAAAGCUAGGGGAGCGAACGGG
This 253-nucleotide ribosomal RNA is filed under the name uncultured bacterium. Its description in RNAcentral is "partial 16S ribosomal RNA". It matches the Rfam family "Bacterial small subunit ribosomal RNA", at positions 524 to 776 of the family's 1533-position model. The record is from RNAcentral.